AGAUGAAGAACGUAGCGAAAUGCGAUACUUGGUGUGAAUUGCAGAAUCCCGUGAACCAUCGAGUCUUUGAACGCAAGUUGCGCCCGAAGCCAUCAGGUUGAGGGCACGUCUGCCUGGGCGUCACAUAUCGUUGCCCAAUGCCUAUUGCAGUGCAAUAGGAAUUUCUAGGGCGAAUGAUGGCUUCCCGUGAGCGUUGUUGCCUCGCGGUUGGUUGAAAAUCGAGUCCUUGGUAGGGUGUGCCAUGGUAGAUGGUGGUCGAGUUAGAACGAUACCGAUCAUGUGCAUGCUCCCCAAAAUAUGGCCUCUAUGACCCACACGCGGCUUUUGACGCUCAUGACGAGACCUCAGGUCAGGCGGGGCUACCCGCUGAAUUUAAGCAUAUCAAUAAGCGGAGGA
RNAcentral lists this unclassified non-coding RNA (396 nucleotides) under soil metagenome. RNAcentral describes it as "partial contains 5.8S ribosomal RNA, internal transcribed spacer 2, and large subunit ribosomal RNA". The stretch from base 2 to 123 matches the Rfam family "5.8S ribosomal RNA", at positions 35 to 154 of the family's 154-position model. The record is from RNAcentral.